Molecule: long non-coding RNA, 270 nt
Organism: Myotis brandtii (Brandt's bat)
Lineage: Eukaryota; Metazoa; Chordata; Mammalia; Chiroptera; Vespertilionidae
Exons: 3
Source: RefSeq, a predicted model, not a curated record
AUAAGCCUUUCUCUCCGCGUCCAGAUACUAGAUUAAAACCCUACGCACUUGGCAGGCAGCCGGAAUGGGGCCAUGUACUAUGGCCAGCUGCACGGUGCAGCAUCCUCCCAGGUUUGCUGGGAGCAGAGGGAAGUGUCACAGUAUUUGGAGAAGCCCUGUGGUUGGAGCACUGCUGAAGUUUCCGAAGCCAAUGACCAGGCAUAUUCCUCUUUGCCAGUUCACCUGUAGUUUACCUUCUAAGGCACAUUCGAACCUGGCUGGGAGCUCACC